GGGGAAUAUUGGACGAUGGGGGCAACCCUGAUCCAGCAAUGCCGCGUGUGUGAAGAAGGUCUUCGGAUUGUAAAGCACUUUCGACGGGGACGAUGAUGACGGUACCCGUAGAAGAAGCCCCGGCUAACUUCGUGCCAGCAGCCGCGGUAAUACGAAGGGGGCUAGCGUUGCUCGGAAUGACUGGGCGUAAAGGGCGUGUAGGCGGUUUACACAGUCAGAUGUGAAAUCCCCGGGCUUAACCUGGGAGCUGCAUUUGAUACGUGUAGACUAGAGUGUGAGAGAGGGUUUGUGGAAUU
RNAcentral lists this ribosomal RNA (296 nucleotides) under uncultured bacterium. RNAcentral's name for it is "partial 16S ribosomal RNA". It matches the Rfam family "Bacterial small subunit ribosomal RNA", at positions 356 to 668 of the family's 1533-position model. The record is from RNAcentral.